This is a long non-coding RNA of Anas platyrhynchos (mallard), 22287 nucleotides long. RefSeq lists it as uncharacterized. Lineage: Eukaryota; Metazoa; Chordata; Aves; Anseriformes; Anatidae. The record is from RefSeq and is a predicted model, not a curated record.
UUGCUUUUUUCUUUUUUUUUUUGCUCUUGGUGCAGGUAAACAAGGAAGCGCAUCGGUCUGUUAUAACUGCACGCACGGCUGUUUGUACGCCCCAGACAGGUGUUUGCUCAACUGUGUUGUGCAAUAAGUGAUGUGUGUGACAAUAGCCUACAGAAACAGUGCUGUAAGUUGAGUGUUGACAAUUUCUUUUAAGAAAAUGUUUCCCUCUUCCCUGAAAUAUGUCUGGCUAUACUAUACCUGGCUAUUUCCUGCUCACAAAUGAGGACAGACCUCAGCUCACUGUAUGAGACACAUUUGCAACAGAAAGCAAGAUGGAACAACCCAGGGAAUUUUAUUUUUCUGCUUCCUGACCAGCCCAGAGCCUUUAUUUGACUGAUUUUUCUGGUCCAACAACAUGUAAUCAACAGAGACAGCAACUUUAAAUGUCUGUUUUAAUGGAGCUGUAAUUGUGCAGGUGCUCAGCAGCGCUAAUUCCACAGCUUGCAGGGUGGAAGAGGGCAGCUGCUACCCUGUGCUGAAGAAAAAUGAUGAAACCUGGGUAUAACCACGUCUAACUGGGUAUAACGGGGUGCCUUAUGCAAGGACGGAGGAAUUUGCAGUGGGACAUUGCCAGGUUUAUGGUUUGGUGUGUCUGCGUGUGCUUCCUCCUGCAGCUCCUGUACUGGGCUUUGUUGUAGGAAUUGAUGGCUGUUAACCCAAGGAAAUGCCAUCGACCUGGAACCUCAGCAGCCACAGAGGGUUUUGAAGAAUGCACAUCCCACGGAGGUGUUUGCACGUGGGUCCUCUUGCAAAUCCAAUCGUUUAAAGAUCUUACAGCUCAGGGGACCAGGCCUACCUCCAGCUCUCCCACUGGUUUGAUAUAUAACUUCUGGCAGAGCUGAGGUGACUUGUUCCUUUGUUUCUUGCCCCAGGUUUUUGCAUAUUUAUUCCCUGACUUAAGGUAGACCCUCCUCGUUCGUGCUGAUAACAUGCCUGGCACGGCAGGGCCUGAAGCUCAGGAGGCCCUCUAGAGAGGUAAAGCAAUGCAAACAGCAACUCCAAUCAACGAUAUUGCUAACUGCUGCUGUUUUAGCAGUUCUGAGUGGAUUAAGUGGUAUUAGCUACAGAUCCGUAAAAUUAUUUUUGAGGAAAGAAAAGAAGUGAAUUGGGAAAUCACAAGUCUGCAGUUCUUGAAGGAAAUGGCCUCUCAACCCUGUGUUUCUCUUUAUUUUCCCAGAAAAGUUCACCAACUUUGCCCUAACCUCGUCCCCCUUCACCCCCUGCGACGGGGUAGUCCAGGGGUUGGUUUGUGUCCCCGUUCCCCACCUCCCCCGAAAAUUAGGAGCUCUUGUUCCUGCUAAAUAAAUAAAUAAAGCCCGAGCGAGCAGACAGAAUGUACGAGACCCUGUUUUGCCUCCCCGAGCUGAAGUUAAAAAUUAUUCAAUGUAAAAUUCCUGGCCUGUGAAACAGAGGCUCCGUACUGUACCAGGCAAAGAUUUUCACCAGCAUUCUCUUGCUUAGCCAAGGCGGAGAUAACAGGCACUGCAAAGCACCGGGAAUAAAUCUGCUCCUCCGAGAGCCCGCCGGGGUGUUCAUCUCCCACCUUGUUUUUCCUUUGCUUAAUAAGGGACGGUGUGAACUUAGAGUUGAGAUUUGACCUGACUUUUUUUUUUCUUAAUGUGACCCAGGAUGAAUGAAGUUUGAUUUAUUUUUUUUUUUUUUUGUCAUUUAAAUGACAAGAGCAACAGGAGAGAGCAAGAAGAUACCAACCAAGAAACUGGUGUUGCCCAUUGCUUUCCAGAAAGACCACACUGGAUUUGGGCUCUCCAUCCGGACAGAUUCCCGAGCUAUCAGGAGGAGAGGUGCGUGGGGAGCAGCCGGGAGCGCAGCGUGCCCAGCUCCGUGUGCCUCCCACCAGCAGCUCUCGCCUGCCCAGGCACGCAUGGAGCACGCCGUGCUGCCUGAUAGCGUAUAAAUCCACCAGGCAUCAUCCCUUCAUCACGUGGGGAGACGAAGCAGGAGGAGCUGCUCACCAAGUAUAAAUGUCUGUAGAGCAAGAACUGCUAUUAGUGUGUCAGUUUUUGAAGUCUUGCUUUAAUCAGUGUGCUUUUGUAAGGGCUUCAGAAACUGCUCAUACUCUUGGCAUCUUCUGUUUUCCCUGCAUAGCAUGUUUAUAUCUACAACUGUGGUUUUCUUUCUAGUGUUUUUUUUUUUUUUAACCAUCCCUCUGAGGACAACCCUUGAUACUUCUUGCCCUGAUGAUGCACUCAUCAUCUUAAAGCUGUGUAAAACAGAUCUAAAAGGCACCGUGUCAGGUUGGGUGUUUGUCCCAGCCUUGCUAAUGCUGCUCGAAGUCAGCAGGCAGGUUGGUGUCAAAGAUAAAUUAUUAAGAUAAUUGACCAUGCGUUCAAAUUUUUUUGGAGUUAUUCCACAUUUUAGGGUGGGCAUUUGCUCAGAUCGGCCAUUGUAGUUUGGAUUAUGUAUUUUAGUCUCCCUAAUGCUACUUUUCAUGCAUCUAAGUCUGAUCAGCUUACUAGACACCAACGUUAAUUGCUUGAGUUGGGUGAAUUUACUCAAGUUCUGCAUGACAAAUCAGACUGAGAGUGGUAUUCUCACUGUUUUUAAAAUAUCUGGGAUAGGUAGAAAUAACUGGCAGCCCUUCCAUGUGUCUCCUUAAAAUUUCUCUUUGCUGCCAUCUCUUCCCUCUAAGACCUAACAAAGCACCACGUUCACAUCAUCUUCAACCCCUUCUUCUCUCAGGUACGUGACUGUUCUGUUUGCUGUCUGUUUGUGAAAUGGUUUGAGCUCAUCUAGGGAAGCCAAAGUAUUUUUAUCACAAAUGUAGAUGCCUGAAUUCCAGCAAGGGCCUCAGCACUUUCCAGCACAUCUGCAAAAAAAAAAAAAAAAUUAAAAAAAAAGGAAAAAAAAAGGGGGUGGAAUGGCAGGAAGGAAGCUCCAUCACAACCACCUUCCUUUUGUAUCUGCUCCCAUCACCCUAUAGUCACUCAGGCCCUGGCUCCAACCUUUCAAAUAGCUCCCAUCUGCUGCUGCAAACGAUGUGAGUGCUUUCAGGCACCGUGGUGUGCUUGGAUACCUGCUACCUGUCCUGUCCCAUCCCUGGGGGAUGCAUCUUCUUUUCUUGCAGUAUUCCAAAAUCAGCUGGACUUACCCUACGCCUGCUGUAUCCACUGACACAGGUGUGGUUGCCAGCAAUGUGGACAGCGGCAAGUAAACAGGUGCAAGUAUCACAGAUUAGGAAAGCCGCUUUAAAUUUAAUAGCCCAACAGUUGGUUGGAGUUGAAACAAUCCCAACGGAAAUAAUCCCCCUGCAUGUAAACCAAGUCUACGAGGGAAAAUGCGAUGUGGCUGCUGGCGGCCCCAAUAAAGCAGGGAGAUGCUGAGGAUUUCUGGCCAAGAGCUUGUUUGCCACGGAGGCUGCACGUCUGCAGCCGUGGCUGGGUUGUGCCCCCUGAGCCCUGCUGGUGGGAGACCUCUGCCCGUGCCAGCAGCAAAGCCGAGACGCCGAGAACUUUUAUUCCCUGGGGCUACUGAGAAGCCGGGGCGCUUUGCAUUUCAUAAGAGCAAGGGUGUUAAUUGCUGGAUGCGUGCACGUGUCGCUCCUAUCAGCAAGGGUCAGCCGCCCGUACGGUGGCCAAAUGCACCUACAGGCAUCCGAUGCUCUGCUAUCACCCCCUGAAAAUAAAUAAAAUAAAAUAAAUAAAAGCAGAGCUCCAAGCUUUGCUAGCUGUGGUUGGGGUGCCCCAGUUUGCCAGCAUGAGGUAAUGCUGACACCUUGUCAUUUGCAUGCGUGUUCUACUUUAUGAGGUGGUAAUGAGGCUGUGUGCCGGCCUGGUGUCUCCUCUGCAGUUGUGUGCUCGCCGUCACCCACAUCCUCGCUGCCUGUGAUUUGAAUGAGUAAUCCCUGGCGUUUGUUUCCAAGCAGGUGGCUCUGGCACACCCUGACUCCUGCAUUCAAAUACAAGAGGAAGGUGCAGGAAGGGGGUGCCGUGACCUCAUUUCAUGGAGCAGGACCAGUGCUCCACCUGGUAAAGGCACAAGUGGCACCACAUGAGCUUGUCUCUGGGUGCUGUAGAUGGAAGGGAUGCAUGCAACCGAAAAGAUGGAUUGCUACAGGGAGAGCAGGCACUCCCUGACCUUCAUUUUCACAUUAAAGACAGAUUCAGACCAAAACUCACAUCAGAUUCUUGACAAAUUGUUGGAAGUUUAGUCACCUGCCACAAAACUGCAUCUGGGCUUGAUGUUCCCAAAUAUUCACACCAUGAAACCUCUGCCUGAGUCACGCAAAUGCUGAAGCUAUGUGGCAACAUGAGGUUGGAGCUCUGUGAAUUUGGGCCCAAAUUCUGCUGAGUCUCCUGUGACUGUGUGCUGUGAAGUUGAGCUGAGCUGCCCUGAGCAGGAGCAGGGCUGUGGGAUGCUCUCAGGUCUAACAGACGCGCGUUCCUCCGAGCAAAAUGCUGCUCAGAGUACGGCGACCCAUGGCUGACCCUUCCAGACAUUGUCUCUGUGCUGCAUAUUCAUAGACUAAUGUUGUUUAGAGAUUGGCAAAGCUCAUUAAGUAACCUAAUUUUUACAGAUGCUUUUGGGCUGCUGCGGGUGGUACUAGUCGGUUGUUGUCUUUUUUUUUUUUCUAUGAAUUGCUGUGUUACAUCCUCCCAUCCCUGCCAUGAAGCCUCCAUUUCAAAGGCCAGGCUCUCUGCACUGCUCCGGGGGUUCCCUUUCUGCCUGGGAGAGGUGGCGACUCGGCAGCUUUUUGUCUGCUCUUCCAGCUGAGAAAAUGGAUGUGGACCCGCUAUGGACACGCGCUGGAUUUUUCAUGGGGGAUGCUGUACCUGAGCCACACGGCAGGUUCAUGGAGGAUCAAACUUAAGGAUCAUCAUGAAGCUUGGCAUCCUGCUGUGGAUUUGGUGGUUUUGCUUCUGGGUCAUUUUUCCUCCGUGGCUUCGUCAGCUUGCCAGGUGCAGGGUUUCGAGAAAGCAGGUAGAUGCAAAGCUGUUACAACACGUCGUGGAAGUGCGAUGGGAGGGAGACGCUUACUCACGGAGCCGUGCCGUGGGCUGGUGAUUCAGAUGCCUGCAUGCCAUCAGCCCCGCACCACGGGGCUGUGCUGGGGAGGCACGAGCAGGAGGAGGGAGCUGCCGCUGCUGGUAGGUGCUCACCCCUGGCACGAGGCAGUGGUGAAGUCAGGGCUGCAUUUGCAGUGUCACGCGAUGCAAUUAGGAAAGAGCUGCUCUGUUGGUGACUGCUGUCUGAACCGGCAAGCCCACAUCAGAAUUGAAACCGUCUCUGCGUGGGCAGAGAUGUUGACAGUGCCACUCGGUUGCCCAAUAGGUUCCCGCUUACAGAUCAAGCUGGUCUGAAGGGAAAAGGAAUACUGCUUGCCCUAAUGAAAAGAUAGGGUUUGUGGGCGAGGAGAAGAAAACCGGAUCGAUGUUCAGAGGUGCUUUGCUGGACUGUGUCAGCUGGAAAAGCUUGGCUGCUGCUGCUAAUUCUUGAUGGGCAAAUGGAGGUAAAUAGUAUGUCAGCCAUUCUCCUUCCUCGUGUGAUCUUAGCUAAGUGGCUUUUCCCUCAGCCUCCCUUUCUUUACAUGUAAUAGAUGCUGUAGCGGUUGAGGAAGUUGGUCAAUCAUUCCAGCAAAAUAGUGUGGGAUUCUCAGCUAUUGCCUGCGUUUAGGCUGUGGUACUGGGGUUGUGUCUACAUGACCUCCUGCAGGUUCAUGCCAGCCUUGACCCUGCUAACCCAGCAGCCCUGUUACAGCUCUGGUUCAUGGUGACUUGGCCAGCCUGUGGUCUGGUACCAGCCUACCUGCCCUUACCGCCAGCUAUGCACAUCUUCCAGCAGCUCUGAGCACAAGGAGGUGGUUCACGCCAGCCACCAAAGCACGUUGGGCCCUUAAAAUCCCACACCCAGCAUGAAUCAGGCCCUCUGAAAGAAGCAGUGCUUCUGCCCAGCUGUGAGCACAGGCUUUGUGCUCGUGGUUGUUCCACGAAUUGAUUGACUACCAGAGCUUUCCAAAGCAGCUCAGCAGCUCACUUGGUUUUAGAAAUCCGCAUUUGAAGAACAAAGGUCUGUAUGGAGAUGAAGUGUGAUGACGUGAAAUGAAACUGCGUGCAAAGGGGAGAACAUUUGUCAGGGCUGCUCUGCAGAGCCAUUAACACGACCACCAAGCUCCGUUUACCUGUCUGGGACACGGGAGCAGUUGCUGGGCCUGUCUGAAUGUACAAGAGAUUAACAGGGCAGGAAAACACCUGCUUCCACUUAACUGAUCUGAGAGGAAACAAAGGGCAAGAAAAGCUACGGCCUGAACAACGCAGGAUUGGAUGAAAGCUAAUAUGCAGCUUCAGAUUGGCAGUUGGCAGCCAUAACCCUCAAUUUAAAGCAGCUGAGAGCCCCAGCUCUUUAGAUCUGAAAUCUUGCUGCUAUGAAGAUGAAAGACUUUGUUUUCCCUCCUUUUUUUUUCCUUUCUUUCUUUUUCUUUUCAUUCAACUGUGGCCAAAUGGGGAGCAGGCAGAUGGGAGUCCAGGCAAACCCAGGUGCUGAGUUGCUGCACUUGAUAAUAGGCAGCGAGGAGUGGCAGGCAACCCUGCCAGAAGGAAAGGCAGAAGUGUGCAGAUCCUUGUGCAGGAGCUCAGGGACCCCCUUUGGUUUCCCUGGUGGGAAGAUGAGGUUGAUUGGGACUCAUUGAUGAGUACAAUGUAGGCUUUAGUGUCGAUAAGGGAUGGACAUUCUGGUCGUAAAGAGUGGAUUCUGGGGCCUCUCAUUGAUUUUGGUGGGUCUGGCUGCUUGGUGUCUCUGCAAACAAGGUUUUGAGGAAGGUUUUAUAAGUUGGAUUCUCAAAAAAUAAUGUAUUGAAUCAAAGAGCAUUGAAAAGGUGAGCAAAAAGGCUAGACAGUCCUUAUUCGAGGCUCAGCUCCGUGGCCUGGCUGUGUGAGCUACAUUUCAUUCACAACUUGGGCUCAGCAUCGUUUGAAGUAUGCUGUCAUUAGGCUCGUGUUUUAACUCUGUUUGCUUUGAUUGCAGCAGGAACGCUUCUGCUGGCUGUUAACAAACUGGUUACACCAGGGAUACCCACCACAACGCCGCAGACCAGGCCCCUUGAAGGCUGCUGUGCAGUGAUUAAAGGAACGGCCCCUGGCCUCUCCUGGGGCUCUCUUCAGUGCCAGGUUAAAGGGUUUUGGGGUAGGGAGGGUGCCUUACCUUUCCCUCGUUCACCAGCUUGUGCCCUAUGGAAGCAUAAUUUAAGUCUGGCAGAUUGGAUGGUUGGCUCCAAGUUAGCAUGUUUGCAAAAAAGGGAAAAACAGAAGGCAAGGCUUGUAGGAUCAUAAAACUUUCUUUCUCUGUUCAAAUAAACACGCGUUAGCCUGACUUGCCUGCCUACCACUUCUGUCAUCUUCAGAGCAGUAAAGAAACAGCGAAACGUACCCGUGACCUUACACAGCACCACUGGCAAAACGUGUUUUAGCUGCAGAGUGUUUGAUUGCAUGCGAGCUGUCCCUCCAGGUUAUUGUACCUCUCCAAAGGCUGCAAGGAGCAGUGCGCUUCUCCCCUCCUCCUUUGCUUGCUUAACUUGUUAAGACAUGGAAGGUUACUCCUGCUAUGACUCCUAUUCCUGACCUGACAGGUGGUGCCUUGCACUGAACUUUGCUCUCACAAACGCAGUUGGGUUUCACGUAUCAGCCUCCCAUUUAGCGGGCUCGCCCCAUCUGCACAGAAUUCGGCAAUUCUGGCAAGGUGUGCUGCUGCAGUCACCCCUGCUGCUGGGCUGGGGAGUGCUGCUGAGCGCUUGCUGCCCAAAAAAACACAGGCUGGGGAUGCCACGCGUUUAAUCUCAUGCCUAUAGCUCUGUACAUUGUGCAGUGAGCUGCUGAGCGCAGGUACGAAGAUGAAAGAGGCGGAGGUGAUGCAGGAAGCGAUACUGCUGCCUGCAGAUGAAAGGAGGGAGCACCUUUAUGGAUCUGCCCCAGUGUGACCCCUCGGUGCUGGGCUGCGCUAGGAACAAAAGAGCUGUAAUAUUGGAUCAGAAGUCCAACGUGCUUGGCAGCCUGAUUUCCAGAACUACAUAAUAGGAACUUAUGGAAAAAAAAGAUACGUGAACUGCUAAGAGGAGUGGCUGUGAGAUAGUUUGUUGAUGGGAGAUGUUUAUUUUUGACACAAGAAAUGCUACGUUUGAACUGUGUGUCAAGGAGUCUUUGCCUUCUUUCUUUCUUUAUCCCACCUAAAACCAUGGGUGUGCUCCUAUAGCCAGGGUUAGUGUGUUUUCACCUAUCUGAGCAUUUGCUUCCUACCAAAGUUUUGGUGUCAGUGACAUCCUGUGGUGUAGAAUUACACGUAAUUGGGGUGGUAUUUUGGGGCAAGAUUCCUGUGUGCUUCAGCUUAUCUGCAUUUACCUGAGGAAGAAUUAUUAACGUGAGGAUUUGGUUUGCAGUCAAGUGGUUGUGGCCCAGAUGUAGCCCAAUUGUUCUGAUAACAACAGAAAUGGACGUUGCAGUAGAAAGCGUAACAAGUUGCACGUUAAUCUUGUUAAAGAUUAAAAAUAUGUAAUAAGGUCUUCUCCAGAGAUGUACUUCAUGGAAAUUAUAAUGUGCAGAGCCAACACCUUCAGCAUAAAUACAUCCUAACAGUGUGCCAGGAAUUAAAUAUUAUUUCAAGGAUAGUUUAUAUCUCUUGUUACAAAUAAAUAAAGUGGGCAAGUGUUUGCCCAGUCUAGUUACCUUGUGCAUUGGGUUUUGCUGCUGUAAUAGGGUCAAGCUUAUAAGAGCAGGAGGAGCAUUUGCAUCCCUGGAGCACAAAGGGGUUUUGCAUGUAUAGACUGCAGACUUUGGGCAAAAUGCUAUUUGCACAUGCUCCAAAUUAGUUAAUUUACCUGUGUAGCAGUUUUGGACCUGCAUUUGAAUCUCUCGGAGUCUGACACAGGGUACCUGCUGCUGAGCUAGUUUCCUGGCCCAUGGAAUGAUAAAAAUCUCAGCAGCUUGGCUUUGAAAGAUCAUAAAGCUCUUGAGAAGCCUCACCUCAGCAUACAGGGGAAAAAACUUGUUUACUAUUGCUGCUAGAAGAGAAUAUGAGAGGCUCAACAGGCCAGGUCAUUAAAAAGCACCAGUAGGUCCUGUAUGGCUUAGUCCUCUGCUGCAUUUUAUGUAUGCCACGAAAUGCUGCUUCUACUUAAUGCUAUAAAUCAUUUAUUGAGGACUUGAGCACUUCUGAGUCCAGCUGAUACAGGACUAUCUCUGAUCUAAACAGGCUGUUAAACAACUUUUGAAGAAUAGAAGUGAAAAUUGUUUUUAAUUUCACAGCCUUACAUGGCAACAUAGUCCGCCGGCUGUCAAUAGUUGUACCAGCUGAAAUAGGAAGGUGUGAGAAAUCAGAGCAGUGGGCUGGACCAUAACAGCUUGGAUGUUCUGGCUCUACAACAGAUUUUUCUGUAUGAUCUCGAGCAAGUCACUUCAGUUUUCUUAAUCUCUCUGGUUCAAUUCCUCCGAUAAAAAACAACAUUCUUUACAGAUACCUUGAAGCUAACAUCAUGACCUUUUGUAAGGUACACAGACAGUGCAGAUGGGCUGAAAGAUAUCAAAGACACUAAACCCAGACUCGUUCCACAGACGGAUCAGUGGUCAGUCGCAUUACCAUAUGUGAGGUUUUCAAGGGGGAUCUUUUAGAGAUGUCGAAGAAUUUUGUAAACAAAAUUAGCGUAACUCUCUCAUUGCAGAUGCUGGGUAAGUCUCCCUGAUCUGAAGCUUCUAGUGUGCUUGCAACAAGGUACAACAGCCACGUACAGAUAGGACCGAGAUGACAGUGACGUGUUUAGGUGUUUAGCGUUGCCAUCAAGCAAGUAUGUCAUAUGUAAAUAGCCUUCGUUUGCAAACAAAUGGCGCUUGUGUACUAAUCAAGGCCAGAGUGCAGUUUAUUGCAGAUAAAAAGUAAUUUCUUGUUGUGAUAACAGAGAGGUUCAUUUGCAGUCAUUUCUUGUCUUUUUCUGCGGAAAGAUAUGGUUGUCUUAUUCCGUCACAAAACUCAGUUCUGUGUUGCCUGUCAAGGCCAGCUAGAAGCCAGCUGCAAGAAAACAGAGGCCAGAAAAGAGCGGUUGUGGGGAGUUCCUAAGGAUCCAGUCUCUUGGACUGAUGCUAUGUAGAGGAUAAGGACCAUUGCUCAAACCUAGGGGUGGCUCAGAUAGGUCACUGAAAAAAAAAAUAAAUCAGAAUUGGGAAUGACUUCUAUGCUGUAACUCAGGCAGGAUAGAGGUGGUGAUGCUGUUUACAAAAGGAGGGGGAGGCUUGUAAUUCAUAUAUACUGAUAUAAUUCAUGUACCAAAGCCACGUCCCAGCCAUUUUCUGAUGCUGGAGAAAAUAUGUCUGCUUGUGUCCCAGCUAAGAUAAUAAUCUACAUCUCUGAUGCUCACGUAGGUUAAAAUCUCAAAUAAAUGUUGAAGUGUCCAGAUGGCCCAACGUGGAAGUAGGCUACAUCUAUAUUGUCAUACAGGAUGGUGUUGCAGCAUAUGCUGACAGAUUUGUGCUAGUUUUAUUAAUUUGGCUGUUGAAUCGCUGUCAAGACAGCUGAAAAGAUCAAAGCAAAUGAAUCUUUUGAGACAUGUAGGGCUCUGGCACCAGGAUUUUACCACCUGUGUCGUGGCCAAUGUCACUCCAGCAUCACACGUGUUAACAAGCGCUGAGACGUGCCUCCACAAACCUCUACCCCACGUCACGGUGCAUGUAUCCCAUUGGGAUAUGUUUUUAGGAGGUUGGUAGUUUCCUGUAGAUUAUAGAUGCUAUCUAUGCUAACUGCCGUCCAAAGAAUUGGACACUGAAAUCCUGUAUUUGGAUUUCUGUUUAUUAACUUUGACUUCUAAAUUCCUUGGAGGGUGCGCAAAUGCCGAUUGGGAUGCUGCAGGCAUAAGUUUCUUCUCCAAAACGCUGUGGGCUAGAUUUGUCCCAGACAAAAACACGUGUCUUGAAGCGACAGCUCCAGCAAGUGGGAGAAGAAAAGGAGAAAGCCAGCUUGCUCUGAAGCACAGCCGAGAGUAUAAUCAAACUGCAAAUUGUAUAACACCUUGCAGGAGAAAUCAGUCUUUCGCAACUAAAGGUUUCCAAGGUUUCUCUUGAGUUAGCUGUGGGGAUAAGUUGUGUCUUAGGGGAAUUCUUCUGCCAGUUGGGCUAAUUAACAUGAUAAUUUGUUGUUUCAUUAGCUACAUCUUUCAUGGGAAAUGAGUGCAUUUCCUUCAUAACAAGGAGAAAACAUUUCACUUGUUUUUCUUUUCUCAUGACACUGCUGAGAAUUCACUGAAAACUUCCUUGAAAAGGGCUGAAACUGGUGUAAAGAAAGCCACAGUCUGGAUUUGUUUUAAAUGCAGUUAUUAAUCAUAGCGAGGAGUGAACACUAGUUCUGUAUCAACCCCUUUCCUACAUCCUUCAACACUUUCAAAACAAGGUUAUCAUGGAAGAGAUUCCACUUGUCAGCAUCCCAGAAGCAUUUUGUACAGGGAAAGGGGGGAAAUAUGGCUCUGUCGAUUGUAGCCAAAACAGAACUUUUUGUCAGCAUUGAGAAUGGGAUUUCUACCUGGCUACACUAGGAGUAAAUACCACAGAGGUCAUGGUGCCUGUGACUGGAUGUAGGAAUCCAGUCGUAGGCUUCUGCUCUUACUAGCUUGUGUAUCUGUAGACUUGAGUUAUGGUUGAACUUUUUAUUAAUUUCUGAAAUAAUUUUGGAUGUCAAGACUAUAUGGUGAUGGGAUUCAAGCUGCUCUUAAGAUUUCAAAAAAAAAAAUAAAAAUCAACUCUUGUGAAUUUACCAGCAAAAUUACGUGCGUGUCCUUCAGCAAGUCCUUGCAUCUGUGCCUUAGGUCACCCAUGUUUGGGAAAGCGAUCAUCAACCCACCCAUGUAACUGCUAUUCCAUUCCAAAUUGGGUGACCUAGGAGUGUUCCAGUUGAAUAAUCUGAUUUCUAAUUCAACGGGUGUCAUAUUCUGGUUGACUGAAAAUGAGUUGGUUUCUAAAACACUUGAGCCAUCUCCACACUGUUGAAUGCCGCUUCCUCCUGAACCCUUGGGUGCCUGCAGACCUCUAUUCUUCUCCCCCACAUCUUGGGGGUGUCUAGAAGGGGUGCGAGGCAUACUUUGGAGCAGUAGUGCCAAAUUCAAGUGUAAACUCAAUAAAUAGUUGAAUCUUUGUUCACAGCAGCGGUGGGGAGACCCGCGUGCCCCCGGAGAGGCCGGUGUGUGCAAGGCAGGGCUGCAGCACGCCAGUCGGCCUGGCUCGGCCGCUCCCCGAGCGGAGGACACACCUGUUAAUAGCUAGAGGCCAUGAGAUUGGUUGGACGCGAGGAAUGCACCUGCGCAGGGAGGGGUGAAGGACUACAUGUAAGACGAGCCCGUAGACACUCGCCGUCUCUUCUCAAUUCCAGCUUAAACAAGCAACAGCGCUCUGGGCUGCGAAGAAAGCCAUGCGUGGUUUCAUCCUUUGCUUUCCUUUUUUAUUUUAUUUUUUAUUUUUAAAUUUGAUUUCAGUAGGCUGAUACGAUUUAGAAGUGUUGUUUUUUUUUUUUCCAGGUACAGUUGUAUUUUAUUUUUAAUUUUUUUUUUUGUCUUCCUUCGUUUCGCGUGAAUCUCGCUGCGAAUGCCUCUCGCUCCGAGUUCGUCUUUUCCAGGACACGGAAAGAUCAGGCGAUGGAAACCCUGGCGUGCGCUCUCCUGACGGUCAUUGCGUCCUUUUUGUUACCUCUCGAAGGCUGAUGAGCUUGGUUUGGGAAAAGGUGGUUGUGCUUCCACGCUGAAGUUACUUGAAUGUGUGUGUGUGUUCAUGGUCCUGGUAAGCCUUUAGAGUCCAGGUGCUGUGGUAAAAAUGAUCUGCCUAGCAUGCAGCAUGACUUCUUUGAUGCCUUUCAUGCCUACGUUCAUCAAAAUUCUCCUUUCAACUUCACUUUUUUUUAGGGCUCUGUCCUCUUUUCUCUUCCUCCUUUUCUCCCCAGGUAGAUUAAAGAGGGUUUUGUUGUAGGGAUCAGGUUUUGUCUGCUGGGUUCUGGGGGAGGGGGAAGCGGCGCAUGAAUUCGAACGUUCAUUUUCCAACCAGCAAAACCAGUCAGGGCAGGUAGGAGCAGAACCAAGAAACCGAAUAGGAGGGAGCCAUGGGGGAAAGCCAGUUUCACCGAGGUGUCAUGGAGAGCUUGGAAAAAAAGACGCCUUCGGAGAAGUUUUAUGGCGACUGAAAUGAGAUUAGUGUACAUUUUAAAGAGAUCUAUGGAAAGAGAAUUGUUGCAUUUCAACGAGCACCUUGUUGGGUACUGCUAACAGUGACCCUUUGAAAUGCAACGUGCUAGAGGCUCCUUUUUGAUUUAUUUGUGUCGAUUGCCACUUUUCAGUUAGUUUUUAAACUAACUGGCAUUUGAAUGUAUUUUAUUGUAUUCGCAAAAUGCCCAACCCUCUAGUUUUAGACGUACGCUCGUUACUUCUGCUACUUUGGAGCCAGAAUUAAUUCCUCAGCUGCUGUGCUGGAAGUGAAGGAAAUUGAUUGGGAACUUUUCAGCCGCCGUUGUUGUUCAGGUGCAAGGGGAGAUCUCGUUCUGCUUCAGUCAUCGGUUUCCGCUCAUGGCACGGAGGAGCCAUUUUGGGUUCGUUUUGUUUAUUCUUUUCUUACCUGAGGCUUUUGUGUGUGUGUGUGCCUGGCAAAACGAGCAUAAUUAAGUCUUCUCCCCGUUCUCGCGCUAGUUCGCUCUCGUUGCGGAGGGAGCGGUGCCAGCUGCGACUAGCCUUUACUUGCGCUGCCUGCUUGGACACCAAAGAGGCAGAAGACAAAACAAAGUGGUUUGCUGCGUUUUUGAAGUGUUGAAGUCUAGUAGUGGGCUGGAGGCAGUCGCUGCGCCGCUUUCUCAGACGGGCAGAUCGAGUCGAGGUACCCAAAAAGCCCCCUCUCGGCUUCUCCGCUUGGGUCGGCAGCUGGAGGGCGAUGCUGUUGACGUGGUGAAUUUGGAUGGAGGAAUAAGAGGUGUUUUGUAAGCAAGCAGGCUUCUUGUAUAAUGCGUCUACCCGGAUUCAGGAAGAGGCUCUGGGCUGGCUUUGCAGACACUUUGCAGUCAGCAGAAAAUGUUUGCUCACUCGUUCCCUCCACCCCUUUGGUAAAACAGCCUUCGAGAAAGUUCUGCGAGGCACCGAGCUGGGCCGAAAUAACGCCAGGGGAUCCGGCUUCUCAGAGCCAGGGAGCUCGAGCUUGCCCUGAUUUAAAUGCUGUUUGAUUUAACUGAUUUCAGGAAGGGCUCUAAUGGCUUGUUUCUGAAAAAUUUUGUCAGGAUCGCGUGAAAUACUGCUAGAUUAUGUACCCCCUCCUUUCCAGUGAGGUUAAUUCUUCAUUUUUAUUUCUACGUAUAUUUUCUCCUAGUAAUUGCAAGUAUUUAAAUUCAGAUGACUUAACUUCUUCCUUGAAAGAAUUAUGAUUUAAAGAUUCUUUUGCUUUGUUCUAGACUCCUCUGCAACAGAAGAUUAGUUUGUGCUUGUGUGAAUCUCAGAGAACAGUAUUACUAUUGAAAAAUGGUGUGCUGUUCCGUCAGCACACAAAUAGCUAGCUAGGAGGUUUUUUUCCAUUUAAUUUUUACUUUGCAAAUUCUGUACUGGUCCCAGUCUUUUUAAUUGGCUUUGAUCCCCUUUUUAAUUUAACUGGCAUUGCAGCUUGCAGAUGUGGGUGUCUGAAUUUCGGUGCCUACACAAAGCUGGAGGUGUUACAUGGAAGGCUUUUGCAAACACCUUUGCUUGUGGGUGUGUAAAGGGCUCUCAAAUUCAAGGAUUUUAAUUAUUGAAUCAUUGGUUAUUACUAAGUGAGAAAUUGAGCUGUUAAAAGACACUGUUUGGUGUACAGGCAACUGAAGUUAAACAAUAAAAAUGUUACAAACUUGUAGAAAACCAUGGGAAUGCCAGGAUUUUGGAAACUGUUAGCUAAAUACCACAUUCUGUCUCCUCUUCCCAUUCUGCCCAGCAAACAAUUAUCCUGGUGAAGACAUGGAGAUUUCUCAGACAAAAUAAAUUACUAGCCAUGGUAAUCAUGAACCUAAUCCUGGCUAUUUUAGUACAUUUCAGGAAAGCUAAAAAUUACAACUUCCAAGUCUGGCAUCUUGUAGAAAUCGCUGGGGAUGACCAGCAUCAAACGCCACAUGCCAGAUACAGUGAUGCUAUUUGGUAUUCCCAACAGAGCAGGGGCUCAGUUUUUCUGUCUGGAGCACCAAGGGAAACGUUGGUCUGUGCAGGGAAUGAGUUCAGAGGAGUGUGGGUCCUGAAGCUGACCCGCUGACACAGUUUUACUGAUAAAAAUGGAGUAAAACUUAUUUAUUCCAGAAAGGAAAAAAAAAUCCUCCGUGGAACAAAGAUUUUAAUUUAAUCAGAAUUGAAAUGAAUGAAAGGGCACAUUAAAAUAUACUUCAGUUACGAUAUAACAGUUAAUGAUAGUGUUUGAAAAUUGCUUCAAUAUGACAUUCAUUAAACUUUAAAAACCCUCCUAGGUUUCCCCUUUUGUGUGAAUGUUUGCUCAUCUAAGAAAUAGGGUUUUCUGAGUGUACUUAGUUGGAGGGGAAAAAAAAGGGAGAAAAGCUGAAGUGCUUAUUUUCUACAUUCCUAAUUAAAAAAAAAGAAAGAAAAAAGCAUGUAAUGAGAUUUCAAAUUACAAAAAUGUAAAUUGGACAUAAAAUAUGAGUGCAAUCAGAUGUUAAUUUGUUAGACAUUUUGUUUGCAAAACAAGUUAAUUAGAAUGUUCUUACCAUAUUUUGGGCAGGGGAAAGUGGCCCGAGGAAAUCACAUUUCACAGUCGGGAUGCACAUUUCACUUUAAUUAGGUUUGUUUUUUUUUUUAAUGGCUCUGUCAUUAGAGUCAGAUAAGUCUGUUUUAGGGGCUUACUAUUUUUUUUUUUCAAUCUUCGGUGGUGGCAGAAGUAAUCCCGAUCAAUAAGCCAUCUGAACUCUAGAAACAGAACUUGGUUUGCACUGAUGCUUUUAAGCUUUCAGCUAAGCCUGGCUGUCCUUUCCAACUCCAGGUAUGGCUUUUAUCUGAUGGAGCUCCGAGAUAUAAAGGCUUAAGUUUCACAUGCUUUGUUCUUUUCAUUGGGCCGUGCCUAUUGAUUAAGGCUCACCCUGCAGGUUAACCAACAAGUUAUUUUUCCCCCCACCGGAGCUGCAUUCCUUUCCAGACCUGCAGCUGCCUGGGCAAAGCCGGGCACCUCCGUGUCCCCCCUGGCAUAUCUGAUACCCCAUUAAUUGAUACCCGAUUGUUUUAAGGCUGGGGGAACUUUGUCCGCCUACUUGAGAAGCGGGUGGGGGAGGCGGUAAGAAGUAGAAGAGGGGAGGAGAAAGAAAGGUAAUAUAGGUGCAGAGCUAAUUACUCACCAUGUUUAAAGAAAAAAAAAAAAGGGGGUGGAGUUCAUUUGAGUUCCUUGUUUUCCACUCCUCUUCAGUCAUUCUUUCCUUUUUUCUCAAGGCCUGAACAUUGGUAAUAGUGGUGAUGAUUAACUAAAUGAAGUUGGUAACCUGGGCGACCAUUAGGGUGGUUUUAUAUUUCAUGGGUACCGCAUAGGCAGAGAAAGCACACUAUUGAGGACUCGGAAAAAUGAGACUUUUUUUUUUUUGGUUAUUUAUUAAUUUAUUUAUUUUGUUGUUGUUGUUUUGCUGGUGUUUUUUGCCUUUUUUUUUUUUUCAUUGUGUUUCUUUACUUUGUGUUUCGCGCCUGGGUGUUUCACAACGGUAAGGCUACAAGCACCUUCUUCCACGUUUCCCUUCUGCUCCAGUCUUUUUCGUUCCUUCUCUCCUUGAUCCUUUGAAAGAUCCUGUGUCUGACUAAAUUGCAGUUUCCCCUUGUUUCCAGGCCCACCUGGAAAACACUAUCCUGGGGAGUAGGAGGAAGGUGAAAACUAUUUAUUUCUCAAUUUAUUAGAUGUAUGCUAGAUUAAUUGGCUUGGAGAUUUAUCUUUCAUGAUGCAUCUUACAUUUGUCCUGCUUUUGACAUAAUAACAUAGUGCUAUUCUCUUGAGACACAGCAUUUAAUUUCAUGCUGUCACCACGCUUGUGUUGAGUGUACUAAAAGCAAGUUCGGUCUUCUGUGGAACAAGAAAUUCUCAAAACUUUCAGGCCUCUGGUGGGCAUGAAUUGUCUGUUUCACUGGCAGACGGAAUGUAAGCAGCAAGCUGGUGCCAUAGCUUACCGCUUUUGUUUGUUUGUUUUUGAGGGGGUAAAUAUUAAUAAUUGUUGUGCUUUGUAGAUAUGAAGUCUCUCUCAAAACAGACAAGAAAAAUAGCUGAACAUUAUUAGUUUAUUAGUCAAGUGAGAAAUAAGCAGGCUGUCAGUUUCCAACAAACUAUUUUUAUUUGGAGAACUAGAUGGAAAUAAACAUGUUGGAUUUAGUAUUAAAAAAGAGAAAGAUCCAGGGUUAUGAUUUGAUGUGAAAUGAGGAUUCAUCUGGGAAAUGUGGGCUUUAUAAGUGAAUGCUUCCUUUUGACUUGUCGUUGUGCAGACCACGCUGGUUAGUGGGAUCCAUAACUCGUUUGAAAGGUGGCCCAUGCCUUUUUGGGGGCUUCUGUGUCUGCGAAUUUGUCGUUGCAAGCAUUGUGCUGGCUAGAGCAGGUGGCUGGGUUUGCUGAUUGUACAGCAUGGCCUGUGUCUCCGAGUAACCUUCUUAGGGAACGCUAAGCAAAACAUUCAAACUGUGGCCAAUUUUUGGCAGCUCUCGCAGAAAAGAGAAAGAAUUACGAAGGUUCUUUCCAUCCUAGUGUGCAGGGUUGCACAUGCUGAAGUGAAGAUCAAAAUAUCACACAAAAUUGCAUUUAAAUAUUUAAGCUAGUUUUUAUAAAACCAUUUUCUCAACUCGUACCAAUUGAUAUUAGGUUCGGUGUUGGUCCUUUGGCUGCCAACAGAGAAAAAAAAAUCACAUUUUUUUUACAAAGUAUAAAUUUCCUCUGAUUUUUUUUUUCUAUUUAUCACUUUUGAAACUUGUUUUGUACAUGAAGCAUCUCCUAUGGUACUAAGGAGGAAAAUUUAAACAGAUGUAGUGUUGUGCAGAAGAUAACACAAAGGCUCUUUCUCUUUUCUCUAUUCCAUUAUUGACAGCAGUUAGGCAAACCAAGCAGAUUAUUAUUCAUUCAGUGGAUUAGCUCUAAAACAGUUCCAGAAAGUACACGGUAAGAAUUUAGGUUUUCCUGGAAACUGUUUCACAGUUUUUGUUUGCUACAAUCAUAAUUUUUUUCUUUUUUUUUUUCCCCUUUUUUCCCCUGCAGAAGACAACGUUUUCAUUGCAUAGUGCUGAGAGGUAGGCCACAAAUAAUAUGAAAUUAAAAAAUUAAUUAAAUUAAAAAAAAUUCAGCAGCCGUUGUCGGGUUGAAUAAUGAUUAACACAGGAGCAAGGAAUGAGGACUGUGUGUUAGAACUGCAUUAUGCAGCUAAGAAAUAUGUGCCUUUGUAGUAGUCAUCUUAGCGUGUUACCGUGUACCAGCUUAUACAGGAAACCCAUGCAGAAUUGCAGAGGCGUGUAGUUUUGGGUUUUUUAACUCCAUUCUCCCCGUUGGUUUAAUCUCAAGGUAUUUGUCUCUGGUGGAAGUCAGUACAGGACAAGGCCCUAGGAGGUGUCUGAUGAGGAAGUCGGUGUAGCACUGAUGUACAGUUCUGAUACUCCUUUGAGGAGUUUCAACUCCUUUGAAAGUGCUGGGUUGACCUGGUGAGCCAACAACAUAUUCUUUUGGUGCACUCUGCACCAACAGGGUCCCUGUUUUCACUCAAAACUGAAAUGGGGGGCAUUACAAAGCACCCAUUUAAUGCAAUCUAGGGCCUCACCCAAGCACAGGACUCUCUUGAGAGCAGUUCUGUCAGAGACCAGAAGCGAAGGAAGCGUGCAGGAAGGGCUGGAUGCCUCCACAGGUCUGUUCCAACCUCUGGUCGUAUAAUAUUAUACUAUUGUCCCUUCAUAAUAAUACACCGAGAGUUGAAUCCUGCUCCAGGCUGCCAUUCCUGACGUACUGUGAAUGGAUAGUAAAACGUGUUAGCAGAGGACCUGGUAUGUCAAAAGGAUUUUAAUUAAAAACAUCUUUUUUUUUUUCCAUUGCUAAAAGGAGAAACAGGACUGAGGCCUUUCACCCGUCCAUGGUGAAUUUAAUCAAGACUGGUAUUUUUUUUUUUUUUUAUGUCUUUCAGCAUGUGUGAAGGGAAUUGGUCGAUCCAAUUUCAUUUCUUUAGGAACAGGCGGACCGUAGCUGCACACCCCCUCAUGGAUUUCUUAGCCUUUUGUUCACAACUGCAGAAGGGAGGGUGAGAAAUAGCAGAGCUUUAAAGGUGGAUGGGCAGCCGUGUUUCUCUUUAGGCCCUCAGAGAAGUGCCUGGACACCUGGGCUGAGGGUUGCCACAUCUGACUGCUGUUUUGUGCUGGUUCAACAUGGUCAUUGCACCCUUCCCAUGCCUUGGUUCUUCUGCCCUGAAGACAUCCAAGGUGUUUUUCUAUCAGGAAAUAUGUCAAAGUCAGGAGGGUGAAAGAGUUUUUAAAGGAAAUAGCCCUGAAAAAAAAAAAUAAAUAUCUCAUUUACUUUCCCUUCUGCCUUUUCCUUCUUCUAUGUACACUUACUGUGGAAAGAAGCAAGGCUUUCCUCUGUCACUGCAACAUCUCUCAUUUCAGAUGUUCUCCACCUCUGGUGGGCAGGAGAGAUGUGAGAGCUGAUAGAAUACUGCUUGCCAGUGGUAAGUAUGCUUACCACUAGCACUGAUUUGUACAUUCUGGAUACAGAAAGAUGCGUACCAUUGAAUCUCUUGGCAAGAUUUGGAUUUUACACCUUUUGAAGCAUUAGUUCUUGACAUUAUGUAUAUGCUUUCUGGCUUGAACAUUUGUCUUGGUCCAUCUAAUAUCUCUGAGAUUGUUGCAAGGUUUCAGUAGUAAGAAAUGGGCUUAAGAAAAGAUCCACUGAGCCCAGGAGCAGUGAAUUGUUAGCUUAGGGUAUAUUUUUAGUAGUUUUGCUCUUGUGCUCAUGAAAGCAGGAGAUGCUACCUUCUAGCUGGGCCACAGAUGAAAGUGUUUUGGAUCAGGCUGAAAUGUUCCUGCACCAUCAGAGAACAGCAGGAUCGUGCCCUCUUUUCCUGCUGGGUUGAUUCCCGGAGCAUCAUAAACGAAAUGGUGGUUGCCUUGAACUGUCCUUAUGGCGUCUUUGAGAUGGCAUCCGAAAUGCUAGGUGGGGCUGCUAAGGGUCACGUAGUCUGAUCCGAGGCUAGAUGGGGUGGCUCAGCACCUUUUCCAGCUGAGCUCAGAACAUAGGCAAGGACACAGGUUUCACAACCUCUCGUCUCACCCGAGCGGUGACACCGGUCUGUGACACACGCAGCGUCCUCCAUCUCAUCUCAGGAGAAGGUGGGGCAAUGACUGGGCGCUUGCAUGCUCAUGUAAAAUGUUUAUGCAUUUUUCCCUUUGCUGUCACUAUUUUUACGUGGCAACGUAGUUUCCUGGCAGCUUUCCAAGGUUACCGUGGUGUAAAAUGUUAAGAUUAAGCAAAGGCCCUGUUGCAGCUUGAAGAGGACAUUUUAAAAAAGAUAAAUCUCUGUGUUCUCUAUGAGCUCUGACGCCUCAGGUAUUUUCUAUUCCAAGUUCGAGGGAGAAAAACAUUUCCUGUGUGCCUCCAGUUGUAGUAAGUGCUGGCAAACUCCAUCCACAGAGAAGCAAGGACAAUUCCAUGUGGUUUCUGAGGGCAGAACUAGAUGGAUAAAUUCAAGUUUGUGAUCCCACACUCACAUAUAUCGUGAUAGCACAUAUUCAGCAGACUAAGUUUCAUCCACAGUGACAAACCUCUCGAUGUUCAGUCUGUUGAGGUUUUGGCCUGUGAUUCUGCUCUGCUGGAUGACUUUUUCUGUUGAAGGUCUGAUUUUAUUUGUUAUGCAAUUUAAUAUUUUUCCCCUAAUUAUACCUAAGUAUCAUGUAUUUUUUUAUAAUCUGUGGUCAGUCAAGAAAAUUAUUGAUCUAAUAUUAAACAAGCACAGUUUUCAUACAUACCAACCUGAUCUGUUAACGCAAUCUGAGGUUUUUUUUUUCCAUGGAAAUCCUACAUUUUUGCUAUUCCAACUAACAUGUAGGCCACUGUAGACAAAGAGCUAUUGUUUAUUUCUUCUUGCUGACUUUCUUCAGUUGAUGUUAUUGAUGUAGAAAAGACACUUUCUGUUGUAAUGGUGAAGUGGAGCAUGUUUGUUAGCUGCCUCAGGAAGCUUUAUCUUUCUUGGCACUUACCUACCACCAAGGGGCUGAUGGCAUUCAGUGUCUUCUUGUUAACACCACCACAAAAUGUAAAAGAAAUCCCAACCCUUCCUCCACCCCUAUGUUUUUUUGCAGUGAUCUUUUUAGCUGUUCAUAAGUUGGCCUUCUGAAACAGAAGGGAAAAUCACAUGUGUAUUUUUGUUCAAAUGUCAAUGCAAGGGCAUGGCACGCAGUACAAGGCUUUAGAGGUUGUGUGGGGUAGCCUCAUGGAAGAGCUCUUGUAAUGUGACUUGUUGGCAUCAGAAUUUGACUGGAAUUUCUCUUAAGUGAAAUUUGAGGAAAUGUUUUAUAGUACAGUGACCGAUCUAAAAUAUCGGGUAAUGCAGAGAAUGACAUGACAGUUGUACAUCUUAAACCAGUGGGGUUCCAGUUGCUCUCCAGCUGCUUUUCACUUUAUUUUUACCACCUUUCUACUGAAUGCAGUCCUACUGUUCAAAUGGUUGCUGUGCAGCACAUAGUUUGGGAAUGGUUUUCACCUUACUGCAGUUUGGAAGUCUUCAUGCAAGCAGUAAGGGCUUUUUUUGCUGUUGUAAAUUAAAACACAAGCUCCCUUUGUUCAGAAAUUUAGCUUUUUUGACUUAGAGUUAUCUGGAAUCAAACUAAAAUGUCUCUUCCCCUGCUUUCAGCUGCACCUUUUGCCUCCCUGAAUGUUGGAGGUCAUUUUGUUGUUGCACCCCAUCACGAACCACCCCAGUGUGGUUUUGGCUAAGAAACCUAGCAGCUCUGCAGGUAAAGGAGGAAAUGGGAGAGGGAGGGAAUGACAAACCCCAUCCUAUACCCACACUGUGGGUGGAAAUGGAGAUUUCCAACGGGUUUUGGAAUGCAAUGGAAGGUGUGUUUGUCAGGUGAGCCUCUUUGUGCUGAAGAAACUGUAGUCAUGCGUUUAGUUGCUGCAGAGCUUUUUUGGAGGAUUAGGUGCGUUUCUUAAUGUAAUGCUUCAAUAUCGUAAAAAUCUACACAUGCAAGAAUCUUGUAAACAACGAGAGGAUCCAAGCCCUCUGUGUUUAAACACUCGUGUUUUCCUUGUAACAACCGUGCAAAAAAUAAAUCUGAUUAAAACAUGA